Molecule: unclassified non-coding RNA, 346 nt
Filed under: soil metagenome
Description: partial contains 5.8S ribosomal RNA, internal transcribed spacer 2, and large subunit ribosomal RNA
Rfam family: 5.8S ribosomal RNA (bases 1-119)
Source: RNAcentral
GAUGAAGAACGCAGCGAAAUGCGAUACGUAAUGUGAAUUGCAAAUUCAGUGAAUCAUCGAGUCUUUGAACGCACAUUGCGCCCCCUGGUAUUCCGGGGGGCAUGCCUGUCCGAGCGUCAUUGCUGCCCUCAAGCACGGCUUGUGUGUUGGGCCCCGUCCUCCGAUCCCGGGGGACGGGCCCGAAAGGCAGCGGCGGCACCGCGUCCGGUCCUCGAGCGUAUGGGGCUUUGUCACCCGCUCUGUAGGCCCGGCCGGCGCUUGCCGAUCAACCCAAAUUUUUUAUUCAGGUUGACCUCGGAUCAGGUAGGGAUACCCGCUGAACUUAAGCAUAUCAAUAAGCGGAGGA